Molecule: ribosomal RNA, 530 nt
Filed under: uncultured bacterium
Lineage: Bacteria
Description: bacterial SSU rRNA
Rfam family: Bacterial small subunit ribosomal RNA
Source: RNAcentral
AUACACCGUACGGGUGGCAGCAGUAGGGAAUAUUGCUCAAUGGGCGAAAGCCUGAAGCAGCAACGCCGCGUGUGCGAUGAAGGCCUUCGGGUCGUAAAGCACUUUUCUGAGAGAUGAGAAAGGACAGUAUCUCAGGAAUAAGUCUCGGCUAACUACGUGCCAGCAGCCGCGGUAAAACGUAGGAGGCGAGCGUUAUCCGGAUUCACUGGGCGUAAAGCGCGUGCAGGCGGUUCGGUAAGUUGGGCGUGAAAUCUCCUGGCUUAACUAGGAGAGGUCGUUCAAUACUACCGGGCUUGAGAGUGGUAGAGGAAGAUGGAAUUCCAGGUGUAGUGGUGAAAUGCGUAGAUAUCUGGAGGAACACCAGUGGCGAAAGCGAUCUUCUGGACCAUUUCUGACGCUCAGACGCGAAAGCUAGGGUAGUAAACGGGAUUAGAGACCCCGGUAAUCCUAGCCGUAAACGAUGUAAACUUGGCGUCGGUGGCUUAAACUCCAUCGGUGCCGUAGCUAACGCGAUAAGUUUACCGCCUGGG